Molecule: long non-coding RNA, 475 nt
Organism: Poecilia reticulata (guppy)
Lineage: Eukaryota; Metazoa; Chordata; Actinopteri; Cyprinodontiformes; Poeciliidae
Source: RefSeq, a predicted model, not a curated record
UCCUUUUCAGUACUAACACAGAGCCUCUGAUUUUCUUGGGAGCAGUGUAAAAGGCUGUGCUAGCAGCUUUAUUUAUUUUUAUAUCAGAUGCCUGUUUUCAACUGAACAUAACAAAAUGAGGGCACCUGUUCAAGCAGCUCACUGGAUUCCUGCAAAAAAACUGAGGAGAGUUCGGGAUCAUUCCAAAUUCAUCUACAAAACUCAUAAAGAGGUUCACUGUGCAAAGAUGGAAAUUUCAGAUUUCCUGUCCAGUCAGCAUCUCUGUUUCCCCAGACCUCUCCUACUCAGACUGGUGAGCUCUGAAGCAUCUCGGCUGUCAAAGCGCAACAGACUGAGACUCAUCACUCUGCAGGAGGUUGAUGCUGCUGUCGCACUCUUAAAAAAGAUGACUCGUGCAAGAGCUGCUGCAUGAAGUAUUGGACUCUAUAAACGUUCUUUUACUGUGGUGUUAAUAAAAGUACAUUUUUAAACUGUA